RNAcentral lists this ribosomal RNA (398 nucleotides) under uncultured bacterium. Its description in RNAcentral is "partial 16S ribosomal RNA". It matches the Rfam family "Bacterial small subunit ribosomal RNA", at positions 338 to 734 of the family's 1533-position model. The record is from RNAcentral.
CCUACGGGAGGCAGCAGUGAGGAAUAUUGGUCAAUGGCCGGAAGGCUGAACCAGCCAAGCCGCGUGAAGGACGAAUGUCCCAAGCAUUGUAAACCUCUUUUGUCAGGGGACAAAAUCAGGCACGAGAGCAUGACUGAGGGUACCGCAUGAAUAAGCAUCGGCUAAUUCCGUGCCAGCAGCCGCGGUAAUACGGAGGAUGCGGGCGUUAUCCGGAUUUAUUGGGUUUAAAGGGUGCGUAGGCGGGCUGUUAAGGGGGCGGUAAAAUCCUGGGGCUCAACCGCGGCGUGCCGUUGAAACUGGCUGUCUUGAGAGGGCGAGAGGCAUGCGGAAUGCGCAGUGUAGCGGUGAAAUGCUUAGAUAUUGCGAAGAACUCCGAUUGCGAAGGCAGCAUGCCGGCG